This 429-nucleotide ribosomal RNA is filed under the name Pseudomonadota bacterium. RNAcentral describes it as "Proteobacteria bacterium partial 16S ribosomal RNA". It matches the Rfam family "Bacterial small subunit ribosomal RNA", at positions 355 to 776 of the family's 1533-position model. Lineage: Bacteria; Pseudomonadati; Pseudomonadota. The record is from RNAcentral.
UGGGGAAUAUUGGACAAUGGGCGAAAGCCUGAUCCAGCCAUGCCGCGUGAGUGAAGAAGGUCUUCGGAUUGUAAAGCACUUUAAGGUGGGAGGAAGGGCAGUAAGCGAAUACCUUGUUGUUUUGACGUUACCGACAGAAUAAGCACCGGCUAACUCUGUGCCAGCAGUCGCGGUAAUACAGAGGGUGCAAGCGUUAAUCGGAAUUACUGGGAGUAAAGCGCGCGUAGGUUGUUCGUUAAGUUGAAUGUGAAAGCCCCGGGCUCAACCUGGGAACUGCAUCCAAAACUGGCGAGAUAGGGUAGGGCAGAGGGUGGUGGAAUUUCCUGUGUAGCGGUGAAAUGCGUAGGUAUAGGAAGGAACACCAGUGGCGAAGGCGACCACCUGGGCUCAUACUGACACUGAGGUGCGAAAGCGUGGGGAGCAAACAGG